GAAAGGUGGGGGAGGGGGGAGGGGGGAAGCUGGUAGUAUUGCUGGAUUCUAAUAACUGCUAACACAGGGAGUGCAAGAGUAACUCCAGUGGAAGUGAAAGGAUAAAUAAAUCUGCAAGGCUCUUCAUGCUCUGACUGCUGCCUUCUGACUGACUUUAUGAUGACCUGUUCCAGCUAUGCUCACUUCAUUGUGACUCCCCAAAGACUUCAUGCUAUCAUUUCACUUUGACCAUACAAAUCUCCAUUAAAAAGAAAGGUGGUAAACGAUGUGGAAUGGUUUAAAUAAUAUAGGAAUCAUCUUUUGUCAAUUCCGGUCAGCCAGCCUGGAACACACCUGUACUCAGCACAGCUACAGAAGAAUGAGAAUAAUUUGGUUGCCUGGAGCAUCAAAGAUAUCAGAUUUCACGUAAAAGACUUCAAAGCAAUCAUUACAAAUAUGUUCACAGAAUUAAAGGAAAGCAUGGCUUAGAGAAGUAAAGGAAGAAAUCGAGAACCUCCACUGUUCUUGGAGGAGAAGACACAGUUCCAUAUCAUUAUGGUAAAGUCUCUGAGGAACAAAGGAAUCGGAGACAGGUCCAUUUGCUUUCUAACACGUAUGUAACAGGACCCGCAAUAAUGCUGUGGCUGUAGUAUCUCUUUUGAAUUAUGUCAGAGUCACUGAAGUCUUCUGGCACCAGCUUGUGAAAAGGACAACAUGCUGAAUAGUGAGAAAUGGAGGAGAGGUGUGAUUUAUUGUCAGAGAGAGAAGCACAGAAGCAUAACUCUUCUUCCUGACAGAUGCUCCAGCCGAUGACACAGAGGCGAGUAACAGCAUUGUUAUAGAAAUUUGGCCAACUGCUUUAGGCACCAUCUGCUCAUUUUCCCCCAGAAGAGUAAUCCCUUUCAAAGGUUGAAGGGGAAGUUAAAAAGGCUGCUCAGGCACUUGGCAAAUUUCUUUCGAUUUCCAGAAUUGUGAGUCACUCAAGUGUAACUCAAAGAAGAGUUAACCUCAAACAGGGCAAGGGCCAUCAGAGCUGAACCAGACCAAAAAAAUUUAAAAUAAAAAAAUUCUAAGUGA
RNAcentral lists this long non-coding RNA (1056 nucleotides) under Equus asinus (donkey). RNAcentral describes it as "lncRNA (ENSEASG00005028143.1)". The record is from RNAcentral. Lineage: Eukaryota; Metazoa; Chordata; Mammalia; Perissodactyla; Equidae.